This 380-nucleotide small RNA is filed under the name Bacilli. RNAcentral's name for it is "UBA2730 sp900320505 Standard tmRNA". It matches the Rfam family "transfer-messenger RNA". Rfam says of the family: Bacterial tmRNA, also known as 10Sa RNA or SsrA, is named for its dual tRNA and mRNA-like properties. Lineage: Bacteria; Bacillati; Bacillota. The record is from RNAcentral. RNAcentral also lists the same sequence under 1 other name.
GGGGAUGUAAUGGUCUCGACAGGAAUGUUUUAGCAUAGAUAGCAGGCCGAGUAGUUUACGUUACAAACUAAAAACAAUAAACGCAAACAAAAUUAAAACUGCAUUCCGCAACAUUUUUGGUGGAAACCAAGCUGUUGCUUUUGCCUAGUAUUUAGGGAAAUGCAAUCUUUUACUUUCUUUGCUUGUGAGAGAGUUUAAGGUUUAAUAUAGCAAGCUUAAGCUUUCUAUUUGUCUAGAUAGAAGGAUGAAAAUCUUUAGACUGGUAUAUUAUUUAGUUCGUUAGCUAAUUUAUAAUAUAUGAGAUUAAUAGUUAACUAAGCCUGUAGAAGUUUAUGUGGCGAUGUUUUUGGACAGGAGUUCGAUUCUCCUCAUCUCCACCA